GAGUUGGUAGCUCAGUGGUAGGGUGCAUGUUUGGUAUGUAUGAUGUCCUGGGUUCAAAUUUCAGUUCAGUUA
Dallia pectoralis (Alaska blackfish) is the source of this 72-nucleotide non-coding RNA. The record is from the annotation of a GenBank genome assembly. Lineage: Eukaryota; Metazoa; Chordata; Actinopteri; Esociformes; Umbridae.